This 253-nucleotide ribosomal RNA is filed under the name uncultured bacterium. RNAcentral's name for it is "partial 16S ribosomal RNA". It matches the Rfam family "Bacterial small subunit ribosomal RNA", at positions 527 to 779 of the family's 1533-position model. The record is from RNAcentral.
CGAAGGGGCUAGCGUUGUUCGGAAUUACUGGGCGUAAAGGGCGCGUAGGCGGUGUGUCAAGUCAGGCGUGAAAGCCCCGGGCUCAACCUGGGAACAGCGCUUGAGACUGGCACGCUCGAGUUCGGGAGAGGAUGGUGGAAUUCCCAGUGUAGAGGUGAAAUUCGUAGAUAUUGGGAAGAACACCGAUGGCGAAGGCAGCCAUCUGGACCGACACUGACGCUGAGGCGCGAAAGCGUGGGGAGCAAACAGGAUU